UGGGGAAUAUUGCNCANUGGGGGGAACCCUGACGCAGCCAUGCCGCGUGAAUGAAGAAGGCCUUCGGGUUGUAAAGUUCUUUCGGUAUUGAGGAAGGUUGAUGUGUUAAUAGCACAUCAAAUUGACGUUAAAUACAGAAGAAGCACCGGCUAACUCCGUGCCAGCAGCCGCGGUAAUACGGAGGGUGCGAGCGUUAAUCGGAAUAACUGGGCGUAAAGGGCACGCAGGCGGUUAUUUAAGUGAGGUGUGAAAGCCCUGGGCUUAACCUAGGAAUUGCAUUUCAGACUGGGUAACUAGAGUACUUUAGGGAGGGGUAGAAUUCCACGUGUAGCGGUGAAAUGCGUAGAGAUGUGGAGGAAUACCGAAGGCGAAGGCAGCCCCUUGGGAAUGUACUGACGCUCAUGUGCGAAAGCGUGGGGAGCAAACAGGAUUAGAUACCCUGGUAGUCCACGCUGUAAACGCUGUCGAUUUGGGGAUUGGGCUUAGAGCUUGGUGCCCGUAGCUAACGUGAUAAAUCGACCGCCUGGGGAGUACGGCCGCAAGGUUAA
Molecule: ribosomal RNA, 548 nt
Filed under: uncultured bacterium
Lineage: Bacteria
Description: bacterial SSU rRNA
Rfam family: Bacterial small subunit ribosomal RNA
Source: RNAcentral